GCAAUCUCUCGAGGAGAUCACGNNNUUUAGUAGGCAGGGUUUACGGCCAGGACUACAUGGGUAUCUAAUCCAUUUUGCGCCCCUGGCUUUCAUCCCUCACCGUCAGAGCUGUUCUCGUAGCGUGCCUUCGCCAUUGUUAGUCCGACCAAGAUCAACACAUUUUACCGCUACCUUGGUCGUACUCGCUACGUCUCCCAGUCUCUAGCCUUACAGUAUUUCUUGCAGCUGUUGGGUUAAGCCCAACAAUUUAACAAGAAACUUGCAAAGCCGGCUACGGAUGUUUUAGACCCAAUAAAAGUGAGUCCCACUCGGACCGCCGGGAUUACCGCGGCUGCUGGCACCGGUCUUGCCCAGUCCUUAUUCGCCAUGCUUUUUAGACAUGGCAAAAGCUAAUCUAAAAAGAUUAGCACUCAGAAUCCCUUUCUCACGCUUGCGCGCAUUGGAAAAUUUUCGCGCCUGCUGCACCCCGUCGGGCGGGGGCGGCGGGACGGGCGCGGGGC
Molecule: ribosomal RNA, 500 nt
Filed under: uncultured archaeon
Lineage: Archaea
Description: partial 16S ribosomal RNA
Source: RNAcentral